Molecule: long non-coding RNA, 243 nt
Filed under: Pan troglodytes (chimpanzee)
Lineage: Eukaryota; Metazoa; Chordata; Mammalia; Primates; Hominidae
Description: long non-coding RNA NONPTRT008938
Source: RNAcentral
AAUUUCUAAAAUAUCAUAGUUUUCUCAUGUAGAAGCCAGCUAUGCCUUUGCCUAUUUUAGAUACCUCAUGUAAGCUGAAUGGUACAAUAUUUGUCUUUUUGUGUCUUGACAUCUCACUUAGCAAAAAUGUUUUCAAGGUCCAUCCAUGUUGUAGGAUAUAUCAGAAUUUUAUUCCUUUUUUGGCUGAAUAAUAUCCUACUGUAUGUACACACACAUUUUCUUUAUUUAUCUGGUGGUAAGUAC